GAGACAACCACACCAGAAGAUACAACAACCCUCACCACAGAACCAUCAACAGCAGCAUCUACAACAGCUGAGACAACCACUCCAGAAGAUAAAACAACACUCACCACAGAACCAUCAACAGCAGCAUCUACAACAGCUGAGACAACCACUCCCGAAGAUACAACAACACUCACCACAGAACCAUCAACAGCAGCUUCUACAAUAG
This is a long non-coding RNA of Acipenser ruthenus (sterlet), 205 nucleotides long. RefSeq lists it as uncharacterized. Lineage: Eukaryota; Metazoa; Chordata; Actinopteri; Acipenseriformes; Acipenseridae. The record is from RefSeq and is a predicted model, not a curated record. The transcript has 3 exons.